This 77-nucleotide transfer RNA is filed under the name Vibrio sp. V24_P1S3T111. RNAcentral's name for it is "tRNA-Ala". It matches the Rfam family "tRNA". From Rfam's summary of the family: Transfer RNA (tRNA) molecules are approximately 80 nucleotides in length. Their secondary structure includes four short double-helical elements and three loops (D, anti-codon, and T loops). Further hydrogen bonds mediate the characteristic L-shaped molecular structure. tRNAs have two regions of fundamental functional importance: the anti-codon, which is responsible for specific mRNA codon recognition, and the 3' end, to which the tRNAs corresponding amino acid is attached (by aminoacyl-tRNA synthetases). tRNAs cope with the degeneracy of the genetic code in two manners: having more than one tRNA (with a specific anti-codon) for a particular amino acid; and 'wobble' base-pairing, i.e. permitting non-standard base-pairing at the 3rd anti-codon position. Lineage: Bacteria; Pseudomonadati; Pseudomonadota; Gammaproteobacteria; Vibrionales; Vibrionaceae. The record is from RNAcentral.
GGGUCUGUAGCUCAGGUGGUUAGAGCGCCUGCCUUGCACGCAGGAGGUCUGCGGUUCGAUCCCGCAUAGCUCCACCA